CCGAGUUCCAUCUCGACAACCCUAUGUGAACCCAAACUAUUGUUGCUUCGGCGGCGCGGAACGCCUCUCCCGGCGCGCCGUGCCCGCCGGUAACCUCAGAAUCUCUGUUCGAACCCGACGUUACCUCUGAGUGUUCUAAGCGAACUGUUA
This 150-nucleotide unclassified non-coding RNA is filed under the name uncultured Acremonium. Its description in RNAcentral is "sequence contains ITS1". The record is from RNAcentral. Lineage: Eukaryota; Fungi; Ascomycota.